UGGGGAAUAUUGGACAAUGGGCGAAAGCCUGAUCCAGCAAUGCCGCGUGAGUGAUGAAGGCCUUAGGGUUGUAAAGCUCUUUUACCCGGGAAGAUAAUGACUGUACCGGGAGAAUAAGCUCCGGCUAACUCCGUGCCAGCAGCCGCGGUAAUACGGAGGGAGCUAGCGUUGUUCGGAAUUACUGGGCGUAAAGCGCACGUAGGCGGCUUUGUAAGUUAGAGGUGAAAGCCUGGAGCUUAACUCCAGAACUGCCUUUAAGACUGCAUCGCUUGAAUCCGGGAGAGGUGAGUGGAAUUCCGAGUGUAGAGGUGAAAUUCGUAGAUAUUCGGAAGAACACCAGUGGCGAAGGCGGCUCACUGGACCGGUAUUGACGCUGAGGUGCGAAAGCGUGGGGAGCAAACA
Molecule: ribosomal RNA, 402 nt
Filed under: uncultured prokaryote
Description: bacterial SSU rRNA
Rfam family: Bacterial small subunit ribosomal RNA
Source: RNAcentral